RNAcentral lists this long non-coding RNA (863 nucleotides) under Marmota monax (woodchuck). The record is from RNAcentral. Lineage: Eukaryota; Metazoa; Chordata; Mammalia; Rodentia; Sciuridae.
AAUGUACAGAGUUUUAGAAAAGAAUUUCUACUGUAAUUUUGUAAUAGACCGUUUUCUUCCUGCCAUUAUUUUUCUUCCUUUCUCUGGUUCCAAACCUUUCCUGGAAUUUAAAGUUGGAUACAGGUUUUGGAAAGCUGCUUCUAAGAAUAAUGUCCACCUACCCCCUCAACAUCAUCCCAGUACUCAAAACUGAUUAGCUCCUUGCUCUGAGGGGGAAAGCAAGCUGUCGGAGCUUAUACAUUUCUAUACUCGUGUUCCUUUGUUGCAAUCCUUUUUUCUUUCUUUUUGGGGAUGGGGAUCAAAUCCAGGUCCUCACACAUGCUAAGCACACACUCUUACCGAGCUACAACCCCAGCUCCAACUCAACCUUCAUCUUCCACAAAAGUCGUAUUAACAGGAAUAUUUUUGUUCCUGUUGGACUGAUGAGUUUUUCAAGUUUUGUUACAGUUGAUGAGUUUCUAAAUGUAACUGGCGUCAUGGCAUUUUGAGAAACCGAAAGUUCAUUCUAGCAUUUCUGAAAAAACAAGUUUUAAUUGUAAGCAUUUCUGCAUAGUGCCUCUGUGCCUCUGUGCCUCUGUAUGUAUUAUGUCUCUGCCCGUACCAGGCUUCUAAAGAGAGUCGUGUGUGUGUGUGUGUGUGUGUGUGUGUGUGUUUAAUAAAAUGAAAAUAUAUUGCUGUUUUCAUUCCGUUUUAAAACUGAUACUGAAACAAAUAACAGUAGUUUUAGUUAAAAUGCUGCUAAUUUGCAUACCUCUUACUUGAAUGUUUUGAUAUGUUUUGAUAAGUUUAAUAAUUCCAAGUGAUGUCUGUAUAAUUUUUAAAGUACGGCUGUCUAACACAUGUGCAUUAAAACUACUGAUUAA